Long non-coding RNA from Lemur catta (Ring-tailed lemur), 616 nucleotides. RefSeq lists it as uncharacterized. NCBI's taxonomy places the organism in Eukaryota, Metazoa, Chordata, Mammalia, Primates, Lemuridae. The transcript has 3 exons. The record is from RefSeq and is a predicted model, not a curated record.
AGGUUAAUUUCAUAGCCGAGUGCUGCCUGCCAAGGUCAGUGUGACCAGCUGAGCCAACUCAGCUAGUGACUUUCAGGACACUCAUCUCUCAGGAACACUGAGGUUCCCAGGAUGGUGCCAGGCACACAAUAGAAGCUCAUUAAAUGUUUGUUGUGAGAACGAAGGCAGCAACUCUUAAGGAUGACAGCUGGGAGCUAUGGACCACUGGAGUAUCCAGUACUCUCUAAUCAAUCCAUACCAGAGAACAGUAUCUGUGAAGGUCCUACCUGGCCAAGCGCUGCUCUAAGACAUGGUACCGCUCCUCUCUGAGGCUUCCUCCAAAGAGUUCCCCAACCCCGGGAACCAGAAGAUCAACAGCAGCAACCUAGAAAGGAAGUAAAAAUCAUUAGCAUUAUGUUUUCAGGUGAUUCCAAUAGUCAGCUUCUUGAGCAAGUAGAAAUUUUAACAUUUUGACAACUAGAUGUUUAACUGCCUGCCAGAAUCUUACUCACUUUAUUUGUCCAUGCUCCUUGUUUCAGUAUCAAAUGUUUAAAUGUUUAAUAUUCUCUUUUAAAUAUAUGCUACACCAAUUGAGGUGGGCAGUUUCCUCUCUCCUCUUCUACCAUUUGUGUGGUGU